Molecule: ribosomal RNA, 203 nt
Filed under: Salmonella enterica subsp. enterica serovar Virchow
Lineage: Bacteria; Pseudomonadati; Pseudomonadota; Gammaproteobacteria; Enterobacterales; Enterobacteriaceae
Description: partial 23S ribosomal RNA
Rfam family: Bacterial large subunit ribosomal RNA (bases 1-182)
Source: RNAcentral
CUAAGUGCGGAAAAGAUAACCGCUGAAAGCAUCUAAGCGGGAAACUUGCCUUGAGAUGAGUCUUCCCUGACUCUUUAAGGGUCCUAAAGGAACGUUUAAGACUAAGACGUUGAUAGGUUGGGUGUGUAAGCGUAGCGAUACGUUGAGCUAACCAAUACUAAUGAACCGUGAGGCUUAACCUGACAACACCGAAGGUGUUUUAG